Molecule: ribosomal RNA, 704 nt
Filed under: Candida albicans
Lineage: Eukaryota; Fungi; Ascomycota; Pichiomycetes; Serinales; Debaryomycetaceae
Description: eukaryotic LSU rRNA
Rfam family: Eukaryotic large subunit ribosomal RNA
Source: RNAcentral
GGCAAAGCUCAAAUUUGAAAUCUGGCGUCUUUGGCGUCCGAGUUGUAAUUUGAAGGAAGGUAUCUUUGGGCCCGGCUCUUGUCUAUGUUCCUUGGAACAGGACGUCACAGAGGGUGAGAAUCCCGUGCGAUGAGAUGACCCGGGUCUGUGUAAAGUUCCUUCGACGAGUCGAGUUGUUUGGGAAUGCAGCUCUAAGUGGGUGGUAAAUUCCAUCUAAAGCUAAAUAUUGGCGAGAGACCGAUAGCGAACAAGUACAGUGAUGGAAAGAUGAAAAGAACUUUGAAAAGAGAGUGAAAAAGUACGUGAAAUUGUUGAAAGGGAAGGGCUUGAGAUCAGACUUGGUAUUUUGCAUGCUGCUCUCUCGGGGGCGGCCGCUGCGGUUUACCGGGCCAGCAUCGGUUUGGAGCGGCAGGAUAAUGGCGGAGGAAUGUGGCACGGCUUCUGCUGUGUGUUAUAGCCUCUGACGAUGCUGCCAGCCUAGACCGAGGACUGCGGUUUUUAACCUAGGAUGUUGGCAUAAUGAUCUUAAGUCGCCCGUCUUGAAACACGGACCAAGGAGUCUAACGUCUAUGCGAGUGUUUGGGUGUAAAACCCGUACGCGUAAUGAAAGUGAACGAAGGUGGGGGCCCAUUAGGGUGCACCAUCGACCGAUCCUGAUGUGUUCGGAUGGAUUUGAGUAAGAGCAUAGCUGUUGGACCCGAAAG